Long non-coding RNA from Oreochromis niloticus (Nile tilapia), 1246 nucleotides. RefSeq lists it as uncharacterized. The record is from RefSeq and is a predicted model, not a curated record. Lineage: Eukaryota; Metazoa; Chordata; Actinopteri; Cichliformes; Cichlidae. The transcript is spliced from 2 exons.
UGCACAGCUAAGGUAUGCAAAAGAGCAUCUCUGAACACAUAAACCGUGAAGCAGAUGGGAUUUAGCAGAAGACGCUUGGCAAAAUGUUACUUUGUCUGCAGAUUCUCAAUUUCAGCUGCAACACUCAGAUGGUAGAGUCCGAAUUUGUUGUAAACAACAUAGAAGCAUGGCUUCAUCCUGCCUCGUAUCAAUGGUUCAGGUUGCUGGUGGUGUAAUGAUAUUUUCCUGGCACAUUCUGGUAUCUUGGCUAUUAUUUUAAAAAAUUCCCUGGUUAUUUUUUUUUUUUUUUACAUUUUCUCCCUUUACUGUACAUAUUGUGUAGUCUCCCAAAUGCAAUGUACUGCAAACUGCUGAUUCUGCAUCGUACAUACUGGUCCAGAAAAGAUGAACUAUUAUGCAGUUACUGCUGUGUAUUAUUUUACACAAAGCAGAGGGCGGGAAUGACAAAAUAUUUUUUUCAUACCAGAAAAAGCUGCGAUAUCAUAUGUUAUGGUGCAUCAUGGCCAUAUUUGGUCAAAGCUGAUAAAGCAAUGAGACUCGUUAACGUCAGAAACCAUCAACCAAGUCCAAGCCCUUAUAGAGAGUAAAGUUGAGAAAGAGAGCAUAGGCGACGUCAGUAUCCAUCAUAAACACAAACCUUUGACCAGUGAGCACGUGGCUUGCAGCAGCACAGUUUCUUCACUCUAUGUCCGGUUGUGCAGUCCUGUUCAAACAGAAGACACAAGCAAGACAGCGCUCCGAUGUGACAGUCGUACUUCUGCUCAUCAAAAGCUAUGGCAGUGGAAUCGACUGUUUCACCUGAACUCCACAGCCUCUCAUAUGUCCAGCACAGGGGCAGAUAUGAUGAAGUCCAAAAAUAUCAAAACGCGAGGAAGAGGAGCUCAAAAGAUUUUUACCCUCCUCUGAUGGCCUCUGUGAGGAGAUUCUCUGUGAGAAUCAGGGAUGGAGAAACUGAACAGACUUUGAGUCACACGGACAAUGUGUUAGCCUUUGUGGCCUUCCAGAUGUCAAAUAUAAGAAAAGAGGUGUUGGCUUUAUCGUCUGACAGGAAGCAGUCAGCUAGACAUCAACACCUAACAGACCCGACUGUCACCAUCUAUCAUUAAUAUGGCCUGUGAAACUGCUGCUCAUAAACUGGAAAUAUAAAACGAAAAGCCUUGCAUUUAUAACACGGAUGGACUAUUUCAGGCCUUGUAAAUAUGUACAAUAGUUUUUGCUACUAUAUUAAAAAAAUAUUUGUAAAUGG